Molecule: ribosomal RNA, 531 nt
Filed under: uncultured bacterium
Lineage: Bacteria
Description: bacterial SSU rRNA
Rfam family: Bacterial small subunit ribosomal RNA
Source: RNAcentral
AAUAGAUACCCCGGUAGUCCACGCCGUAAACGAUGUCGACUUGGAGGUUGUGCCCUUGAAGCGUGGCUUCCGGAGCUAACGCGUUAAGUCGACCGCCUGGGGAGUACGGCCGCAAGGUUAAAACUCAAAUGAAUUGACGGGGGCCCGCACAAGCGGUGGAGCAUGUGGUUUAAUUCGAUGCAACGCGAAGAACCUUACCUGGUCUUGACAUCCACGGAAGUUUUCAGAGAUGAGAAUGUGCCUUCGGGAACCGUGAGACAGGUGCUGCAUGGCUGUCGUCAGCUCGUGUUGUGAAAUGUUGGGUUAAGUCCCGCAACGAGCGCAACCCUUAUCCUUUGUUGCCAGCGGUUAGGCCGGGAACUCAAAGGAGACUGCCAGUGAUAAACUGGAGGAAGGUGGGGAUGACGUCAAGUCAUCAUGGCCCUUACGACCAGGGCUACACACGUGCUACAAUGGCGCAUACAAAGAGAAGCGACCCUGCGAGGGCAAGCGGACCUCAUAAAGUGCGUCGUAGUCCGGAUUGGAGUCUGC